Molecule: ribosomal RNA, 254 nt
Filed under: uncultured bacterium
Lineage: Bacteria
Description: partial 16S ribosomal RNA
Rfam family: Bacterial small subunit ribosomal RNA
Source: RNAcentral
UACGUAGGGGGCGAGCGUUGUCCGGAUUUAUUGGGCGUAAAGAGCUCGUAGGCGGUUUGGUAAGUCGGGUGUGAAAUCUCCACGCUCAACGUGGAGGGGCCACUCGAUACUGCCAUGACUCGAGUCCGGUAGAGGAGUGUGGAAUUCCCGGUGUAGCGGUGAAAUGCGCAGAUAUCGGGAGGAACACCUGUGGCGAAAGCGGCUCACUGGACCAUAACUGACGCUGAGGCACGAAAGCUAGGGGAGCAAACAGG